AGACAACACUAUGUGGCAGGUGAUCAAAACUGUCUGACACAAUUUGAGCUUGCUAUAGCAAGAAAGUCUCACAUAUUCCGGUGCUCUCUCUUCUGUGAGACAAGAUAUUAUGUUAGACUUAAACCAU
Small nucleolar RNA from Cynocephalus volans (Philippine flying lemur), 127 nucleotides. RefSeq annotates it as small nucleolar RNA SNORA28. Lineage: Eukaryota; Metazoa; Chordata; Mammalia; Dermoptera; Cynocephalidae. The transcript has a single exon. The record is from RefSeq and is a predicted model, not a curated record.